RNAcentral lists this microRNA precursor (61 nucleotides) under Limulus polyphemus (Atlantic horseshoe crab). RNAcentral's name for it is "Lpo-Mir-36-P13_pre stem-loop". The record is from RNAcentral. Lineage: Eukaryota; Metazoa; Arthropoda; Merostomata; Xiphosura; Limulidae.
UGAUGGAUGUCCAUUUGGUAGAUGUUUUUAAUUGUUCAUCCCCGGGUGAACAUUCAUCCGG